CUUACACAUGCAAGUAUCCGCACCCCUGUGAGAAUGCCCUCCGAACAAGGAGCCGGUAUCAGGCACAAUUUAGCCCACGACGCCUUGCUAAGCCACACCCCUAAGGGAAUUCAGCAGUGAUAAAUAUUAAGCCAUGAGUGAAAACUUGACUUAGUUAAUGUUAGGGUCGGUAAAUCUCGUGCCAGCCACCGCGGUUAUACGAGAGACCCAAGUUGAUGGCGGCGUAAAGAGUGGUUAAGGUAAAGCCAAACGACUUCAAAGCUGUUAUACGCACACGAAAAACGAAAGUGGCUUUACUGACCCCACGAAAGCUGCGGCACAAACUGGGAUUAGAUACCCCACUAUGCCUAGCCCUAAACAUACCUAUCCGCCUGGGAACUACGAGCGCUUAAAACCCAAAGGACUUGGCGGUGCUUCAGAUCCACCUAGAGGAGCCUGUUCUAGAACCGAUAAUCCCCGUUAAACCUCACCUUUCCGCCUAUAUACCGCCGUCGUCAGCUUACUCUGUGAAGGGUAAGCAUAACCGGCCAAAACGCCAGGUCGAGGUGUAGCGAAUGGAGAGGAGAAAUGGGCUACAUUCAAU
Molecule: ribosomal RNA, 583 nt
Filed under: Halichoeres inornatus
Lineage: Eukaryota; Metazoa; Chordata; Actinopteri; Labriformes; Labridae
Description: Sagittalarva inornata partial 12S ribosomal RNA
Rfam family: Bacterial small subunit ribosomal RNA
Source: RNAcentral